Molecule: long non-coding RNA, 3447 nt
Organism: Macrobrachium nipponense
Lineage: Eukaryota; Metazoa; Arthropoda; Malacostraca; Decapoda; Palaemonidae
Exons: 3
Source: RefSeq, a predicted model, not a curated record
CUCUCUCUCUCUCUCUCUCUCUCUCUGUCAGGCCGACUUCACAUUCCUCAUACCAGUCCGAUCCACCGUUCAUGACGGGGGUUAGAUUGUAGGGUCAUUAGGUAGAUAACGAUAGAUAACAUGACAUAAACAAGGACCAGGGCCAUACAGGUUUCCGAGGAAGACAGCAGUGUUAUCACAGAGUCAGGUUAUGAGAGUAGGCGUUGGCAACAAGUGUUAUGAGUCGGAAGUGGAGCUUUAUAAAAUCUCUACUUUUCAUUGUUAUUAUGAUGUCUAACUUGCAUAAAGGCAACAUUCCCCUCCUUUCGUUUGUGGCUUUCGCUUUUGUAAAACACGACUGCCAAUACCCCGCGGUUCCUGUCACUCUAACAAUCCCGCACAUCUUGGAGUUUUAUACCUCAAUUUUCUUGUUAUUCUAUGCAUCUUUUUCUUCCUUUGGUUUUGCGUUUUUGUGGCAUAGCAAUUCUCCUAUCCCCUGUCAUCCUUAUAGAAUCCUACACUUUUUUGAACUACCAAACACAUUUUCUCAUAUCAUUCUGUGAAUUCCACACUUCUUUAAAGCUCCAAUGUAAACACAAACAACUUAUUUUGUUACAAACAUAAACAACUCUUCCUCGUUUAUUGCAAACAUGCCCCGACAAGUCCUUCACGUGACCUUUCCCUUCAUUGCAUCCACAGAAGUAUAAAGCGGCCUCACAGCGCACACCAAGGCACUGACUUAGUUUUCCCACUUGUCACCCUUCAAACUGUACAGUUCAAGGUGCGGAAACUGAACUUCGAGCACAGAGAAUUAAACAAAUUUGAAGGAAUGGUGAAGAACUGUCGUGUUUUGAAAUCAUCAAGCACCGGUUUUCCACAGUCCAGGAAAAGACAAACAGGAGAAAAGGGCAAAAGGAAGAGGGAAAAUACCUCCACGAAAGCAUAGCAGGAUUCAAACACAGUGGGAGAAGUGAACGAAUGUUUAGAAAGUGUAAAAUCCGAAGUUAGGGGUUGACGGUUUCCGCCCUUUCAUUGCUCGCGCUACUAACUUCGUGGGAUACAAUAUUGUCGCCAUCGUUUCUGGUACAUUAACAAUAUCUCUUUUGCUCUCUCGUUCUCAGGGCUAAAAUACUCUCAACAAAAGCCAGCUUUCAGUAACAUUCCAUCGUAUGUAAUUAUAGCUCACCAGCCCAUCGCGACAGCCCAUCUGCGCACGAAGAAGAGUCCAGAAUAAAGUCUAGCAUCCGUUCUUGUGGGAAAGAAGAAGAAGGAAAAAAAACGAACGAACGAAAGGAGUGUUGCUUGGUAUGAAAAGAAAAGCAUUACUUCCAGGGACAUCAAGGACGAUGAAGAAGACGGGACUGAUGAUGAUAAUGAUGAUGGCCGUCAUCAUACAGUUACCCACAGACACAGAAGCCACCUGCAAUUCCUGUAACGACAGGCUCAAGGUGUCCCUCAUUUGCUGCAUUUUUGACGGCCGCUGCUGCGUCCUGGGACCAGUAGCGGUUGGGAAACGGGACCUGUCAUGGGUCCAAGAGCGCUACAAGGAGAGACAGGAAGACGUCUUGAAGUUCGAAGCCCAACAACUGGAGCUGGAGAAAGGCGCAGUCGUUCACCCACUGGCAAGACCUCGCGACUGAGGGAAAGAAAACUAUCGUCCAUAGUCGUUUAUUGUUGGUUAAGUUUAGCUUAGCUCAAGUCAAACACGAUGCUCACUCUAUUGUGCUAGAUUUAUCAGACUUAUUUCAGAGCAUUCUGCUCUCGAAAACACGAAAUCCGCCGUUCGUGGAUUCUUUUUUACAUUUUGAUUUCUAUAUUCGAAAUACUUUUUUUUAUAAGUGUAUGUUAGUGAAACAACUCUGAAUCAUAUCAAGACUCUUGUGCUUGUAUAUUUUGCUAUUUUAAUCUUACUCUUUUAUAUAUAGCAGAAAUUAGAUGUCUCCUCGUGUCGCAAAACAUGGCCCCCAGGUGUUCACUUGUAAAUAGCAUCUAAUAUUCAUCGAUGUUGACCAUCUAACCACAGACCAGACCUAAUAUUGACUCCCUUCAGUGACGUAGGACGAGAAGUAUGGCGAAUAACAAAAGCCUACGUAACUUAAGAAAUGCGACUAGGCCUUAUACGUAAAUCUGAGACCAAGAAUGAACCAGUUUUCUUCGACGACCAACCCAAGCCCGUGCCAGCACAAGGGUGGGUGAAUCUAAGAAGACGACCAACCCAUGAACAUCAGAAGCUGCUCCUGUAGCUCUGGUUUUGACUGGUUAUUUGUCGGCUAGAAUUCUUCCAGAUAAAAUGUGAUAGUUUAAACACGAACUCUCUCUCGCCCUCUCUCUCAUCACAAUAAACUAUCUUGGACUCCACAACGCGUGCAUGAAUGUUACAGUGAAUGUUAUCUUCUGUAUAACACACACACACACUAUAUAUAUAUAUAUAUAUAUAUAUAUAUAUAUAUAUAUAUAUAUAUAUAUAUAUAUGUAUAUAUAAAGUAGAGAAGAUAAACACUCACUAUACUAUUCAUACUUGCGUUGAGUCCAAGAUCAAGAAUAGUUUGUAGUGAUCUUGUCAACCUAGGCAUUUAUAUGGUCAUUUGUACAUCAGCCACUGGACUUGACUAUUCGGUCUGGCUGGAGAUUCGGGAAAUAUGAUCGAUGUCACCAACCAUUGGAAAGAGUCGUCUUUAACUGUUUAAACGGUAAGAAGGAACUUCUCAUUAAUGAUGUUAUUUCACGCACACGAGAGAAGAUUCUCACAUCAUCUUUGUAGAGUUUUAUUCGCUUCGACAGGAUCAAAGUAAUGAUUUUUUUGCCUAUAAGGCAACUUCUGCUACCCGACUUCAGAAUCGGCCUUCGUAGGGGGAUAGUCCUGUCCAAGGUCUUGGUGCUGUCAAUGCACCACACGUGGUGUACUGUAGGCAUUAAUUAAUGUUCUUUGUAGCGUCCCUCCGGUACUUAGCUGCAACCUCUUUCAUUCAUUUUUACUGUGCCUCCGCUGAACGGCUCAUAUUUUCUUUUCUUCCUUCCUACUUCCACCCUCCCCUAACAAAUGCAGGUUUUCCUCCUGUUACCCCUAUAAAACGAAUGAUCACAUAGGUGCCAGCGCUAGUCUUUUGGCCUAAAUUUUAAAUUCCAUUCAAAAUCACCAAGCAUUUCCAAGAAUAACAAUCUGUGAUGUAUUUUGUUUAUUACACUGCAGCUACUGUUAAUUGAAAAAAAAAAGGUAAGGAAUAGCAUUCAUGGAAUUUUUCCCGUUUCGUUUUCCUGAUAAGUGGUUGACAAUUAAAAUAAUAAUUUUACAGGAGAAAGGACAAAGCGUAACCUACUGCUUCAGCAAGCGUGUGAUGUAUGUAUUAUGUAUGAAAUUGAAUGCGCAUGAUGUGUAUAAGUGCAGACAGUAUUUACGUAGACGAUAUCCCCAUCAGAAUGUUUAAUCGUUGUUAAUUUGUUACAAAUGAAUAAAUUCUGAAAAAAAUA